Molecule: ribosomal RNA, 158 nt
Filed under: Lentinula edodes (shiitake mushroom)
Lineage: Eukaryota; Fungi; Basidiomycota; Agaricomycetes; Agaricales; Omphalotaceae
Description: 5.8S ribosomal RNA
Rfam family: 5.8S ribosomal RNA
About the family: 5.8S ribosomal RNA (5.8S rRNA) is a component of the large subunit of the eukaryotic ribosome.
Source: RNAcentral
CAACUUUCAGCAACGGAUCUCUUGGCUCUCCCAUCGAUGAAGAACGCAGCGAAAUGCGAUAAGUAAUGUGAAUUGCAGAAUUCAGUGAAUCAUCGAAUCUUUGAACGCACCUUGCGCUCUCUGGUAUUCCGGAGGGCAUGCCUGUUUGAGUGUCAUUA